Molecule: ribosomal RNA, 552 nt
Filed under: uncultured bacterium
Lineage: Bacteria
Description: partial 16S ribosomal RNA
Rfam family: Bacterial small subunit ribosomal RNA
Source: RNAcentral
UGGGGAAUAUUGCACAAUGGGCGCAAGCCUGAUGCAGCCAUGCCGCGUGUGUGAAGAAGGCCUUCGGGUUGUAAAGCACUUUUGUCCGGAAAGAAAUCCUUGGCUCUAAUACAGUCGGGGGAUGACGGUACCGGAAGAAUAAGCACCGGCUAACUACGUGCCAGCAGCCGCGGUAAUACGUAGGGUGCAAGCGUUAAUCGGAAUUACUGGGCGUAAAGCGUGCGCAGGCGGUUUGCUAAGACCGAUGUGAAAUCCCCGGCUCAACCUGGGAACUGCAUUGGUGACUGGCAGGCUAGAGUAUGGCAGAGGGGGGUAGAAUUCCACGUGUAGCAGUGAAAUGCGUAGAGAUGUGGAGGAAUACCGAUGGCGAAGGCAGCCCCCUGGGCCAAUACUGACGCUCAUGCACGAAAGCGUGGGGAGCAAACAGGAUUAGAUACCCUGGUAGUCCACGCCCUAAACGAUGUCAACUAGUUGUUGGGGAUUCAUUUCCUUAGUAACGUAGCUAACGCGUGAAGUUGACCGCCUGGGGAGUACGGUCGCAAGAUUAAAAGC